RNAcentral lists this ribosomal RNA (468 nucleotides) under uncultured bacterium. Its description in RNAcentral is "partial 16S ribosomal RNA". It matches the Rfam family "Bacterial small subunit ribosomal RNA", at positions 28 to 507 of the family's 1533-position model. The record is from RNAcentral.
GACGAACGCUGGCGGCGUGCCUAACACAUGCAAGUCGAACGGAAACGCCCUGCUUUUGUGCGGUGCUCGAGUGGCGAACGGGUGAGUAACACGUGAGUAACCUGUCCUUGACUUUGGGAUAACUCCUGGAAACACGGGCGAAAACCGGAUAUGAGUCUCUGCUCCAUGGUGGGGGUAGGCAAGUUUCGGCGGUAGGGGAUGGUCUCGCGGCUUUUCAGCUUGCUGGUGGGGUAGUGGCUUACCACGGCUUUGACGGGUAGCCGGCCUGAGAGGGUGAGCGGACACAUUAGGACUGCGAUACGGCCCAGAAUCCUACGGGAGGCAACAGUGGAGAGUAUUGCACAAUAGGGGGAAGCCUGAUGAAGCAACGCCGCGAGCGGGAUGACGGGCUUCGAGUUAUAAACCACUUUCGCCUGUGACGAAGCGUGAGUGACGGUAAUGGGUAAAGAAGCCCCGGCUAACUACGUG